UGUGGUCGUCAGCAUUUCAACAUUCAAAGCACCAGAAUAUGGCAAUUACAUCUUUCCAGACUGGGCCAAUGUCAUUGGAUGGUGUAUUGCCAUAUCUUCAAUGGCAAUUGUACCCAUUUUUGCCGUGUACAAAUGUAUCAGCCUGCGUGGGACCUUGCGUGAGAGAUUAGCUUGUGCGAUUACACCUGAGAAGGACCAGCAUCUAGUGGAACAUGGAGAACUUCGUCAGCUUACUCUGCGCCAUUGGCUUAUGGUGUGAAAACAUGGAACAAAAGGAAUGGACUUGGAAAACACAGAC
Non-coding RNA from Chiloscyllium plagiosum (whitespotted bambooshark), 298 nucleotides. Lineage: Eukaryota; Metazoa; Chordata; Chondrichthyes; Orectolobiformes; Hemiscylliidae. The record is from RefSeq and is a predicted model, not a curated record.